Molecule: ribosomal RNA, 1438 nt
Filed under: uncultured organism
Description: SSU rRNA
Rfam family: Bacterial small subunit ribosomal RNA
Source: RNAcentral
CUACAGGCUUAACACAUGCAAGUCGAGGGGCAUCAGGAAGAAAGCUUGCUUUCUUUGCUGGCGACCGGCGCACGGGUGAGUAACACGUAUCCAACCUGCCCUUUACUCGGGGAUAGCCUUUCGAAAGAAAGAUUAAUACCCGAUGGCAUAAUGAUUCCGCAUGGUUUCAUUAUUAAAGGAUUCCGGUAAAGGAUGGGGAUGCGUUCCAUUAGGUUGUUGGUGAGGUAACGGCUCACCAAGCCUUCGAUGGAUAGGGGUUCUGAGAGGAAGGUCCCCCACAUUGGAACUGAGACGCGGUCCAAACUCCUACGGGAGGCAGCAGUGAGGAAUAUUGGUCAAUGGGCGCUAGCCUGAACCAGCCAAGUAGCGUGAAGGAUGAAGGCUCUAUGGGUCGUAAACUUCUUUUAUAUAAGAAUAAAGUGCAGUAUGUAUACUGUUUUGUAUGUAUUAUAUGAAUAAGGAUCGGCUAACUCCGUGCCAGCAGCCGCGGUAAUACGGAGGAUCCGAGCGUUAUCCGGAUUUAUUGGGUUUAAAGGGAGCGUAGGUGGACUGGUAAGUCAGUUGUGAAAGUUUGCGGCUCAACCGUAAAAUUGCAGUUGAUACUGUCAGUCUUGAGUACAGUAGAGGUGGGCGGAAUUCGUGGUGUAGCGGUGAAAUGCUUAGAUAUCACGAAGAACUCCGAUUGCGAAGGCAGCUCACUGGACUGCAACUGACACUGAUGCUCGAAAGUGUGGGUAUCAAACAGGAUUGGAUACCCUGGUAGUCCACACAGUAAACGAUGAAUACUCGCUGUUUGCGAUAUACAGUAAGCGGCCAAGCGAAAGCAUUAAGUAUUCCACCUGGGGAGUACGCCGGCAACGGUGAAACUCAAAGGAAUUGACGGGGGCCCGCACAAGCGGAGGAACAUGUGGUUUAAUUCGAUGAUACGCGAGGAACCUUACCCGGGCUUAAAUUGCAGUGGAAUGAUGUGGAAACAUGUCAGUGAGCAAUCACCGCUGUGAAGGUGCUGCAUGGUUGUCGUCAGCUCGUGCCGUGAGGUGUCGGCUUAAGUGCCAUAACGAGCGCAACCCUUAUCUUUAGUUACUAACAGGUUAUGCUGAGGACUCUAGAGAGACUGCCGUCGUAAGAUGUGAGGAAGGUGGGGAUGACGUCAAAUCAGCACGGCCCUUACGUCCGGGGCUACACACGUGUUACAAUGGGGGGUACAGAAGGCAGCUAGCGGGUGACCGUAUGCUAAUCCCAAAAGCCUCUCUCAGUUCGGAUCGAAGUCUGCAACCCGACUUCGUGAAGCUGGAUUCGCUAGUAAUCGCGCAUCAGCCACGGCGCGGUGAAUACGUUCCCGGGCCUUGUACACACCGCCCGUCAAGCCAUGGGAGCCGGGGGUACCUGAAGUACGUAACCGCAAGGAUCGUCCUAGGGUAAAACUGGUGACUGGGGC